RNAcentral lists this transfer RNA (72 nucleotides) under Bos taurus (domestic cattle). It matches the Rfam family "tRNA". From Rfam's summary of the family: Transfer RNA (tRNA) molecules are approximately 80 nucleotides in length. Their secondary structure includes four short double-helical elements and three loops (D, anti-codon, and T loops). Lineage: Eukaryota; Metazoa; Chordata; Mammalia; Artiodactyla; Bovidae. The record is from Rfam by way of RNAcentral. RNAcentral also lists the same sequence under 2 other names.
UCCCUGAUAGCUCAGAUGGUAAAGAAUCUGCCUGCAAUGCAGGAGACCCUGGUUUGAUUCCUGGGUCGGGAA